Molecule: non-coding RNA, 26 nt
Filed under: Homo sapiens (human)
Lineage: Eukaryota; Metazoa; Chordata; Mammalia; Primates; Hominidae
Source: RNAcentral
UGAUUCCAUGUCUCACAUCCAGGACA